AAUGCACCAAUUUGUAAGUCGCUCUGGAUAAGAGCAUCUGCUAAAUGAAUUAAA
Salmo salar (Atlantic salmon) is the source of this 54-nucleotide non-coding RNA. NCBI's taxonomy places the organism in Eukaryota, Metazoa, Chordata, Actinopteri, Salmoniformes, Salmonidae. The record is from Rfam.